Molecule: ribosomal RNA, 433 nt
Filed under: uncultured bacterium
Lineage: Bacteria
Description: partial 16S ribosomal RNA
Rfam family: Bacterial small subunit ribosomal RNA
Source: RNAcentral
AACGAACGCUGGCGGCAUGCCUAACACAUGCAAGUCGAACGAUGCCUUCGGGCAUAGUGGCGCACGGGUGCGUAACGCGUGGGAAUCUGCCUUUCGGUUCGGAAUAACUCAGGGAAACUUGAGCUAAUACCGGAUAACGUCGCAAGACCAAAGAUUUAUCACCGAAAGAUGAGCCCGCGUAGGAUUAGCUAGUUGGUGAGGUAAAGGCUCACCAAGGCGACGAUCCUUAGCUGGUCUGAGAGGAAGAUCAGCCACACUGGGACUGAGACACGGCCCAGAAUCCUACGGGAGGCAGCAGAGGGGAAUAUUGGACAAUGGGCGAAAGCAUGAUCCAGCAAUGCCGCGUGAGUGAUGAAGGCCUUAGGGUUGUAAAGCUCUUUUACCCGGGAAGAUAAUGACGGUACCGGGAGAAUAAGCCCCGGCUAACUCCGUG